Molecule: unclassified non-coding RNA, 377 nt
Filed under: soil metagenome
Description: partial contains 5.8S ribosomal RNA, internal transcribed spacer 2, and large subunit ribosomal RNA
Rfam family: 5.8S ribosomal RNA (bases 1-120)
Source: RNAcentral
GAUGAAGAACGUAGCGAAAUGCGAUAAGUAAUGUGAAUUGCAGAAUUCAGUGAAUCAUCGAAUCUUUGAACGCAUCUUGCGCUCCUUGGUAUUCUGAGGAGCAUGCCUGUUUGAGUGUCAUUAAAUUCUCAACUACACUGACUUUGAAUUGGUGUGGCUUGGAUUUGGGGGGAAAAUUGUUGUGGGCUUUUUGUAUAGUCUGCUCCCCUGAAAUUGAUUAGCGGUACCUUUGUGGAACUGUCUACAGGUGUGAUAAUUAUCUACAUCUUAGACAUCUGCUGGAAUGCUGCUUUCUAAACCUUACUUGUAUUGACAAUCUUGACCUCAAAUCAGGUAGGACUACCCGCUGAACUUAAGCAUAUCAAAUAAGCGGAGGA